RNAcentral lists this ribosomal RNA (245 nucleotides) under Enterobacter hormaechei. RNAcentral describes it as "partial 16S ribosomal RNA". It matches the Rfam family "Bacterial small subunit ribosomal RNA", at positions 341 to 578 of the family's 1533-position model. RNAcentral also lists the same sequence under 3 other names. The record is from RNAcentral. Lineage: Bacteria; Pseudomonadati; Pseudomonadota; Gammaproteobacteria; Enterobacterales; Enterobacteriaceae.
ACGGGAGGCAGCAGUGGGGAAUAUUGCACAAUGGGCGCAAGCCUGAUGCAGCCAUGCCGCGUGUAUGAAGAAGGCCUUCGGGUUGUAAAGUACUUUCAGCGGGGAGGAAGGCGAUAAGGUUAAUAACCUUGUCGAUUGACGUUACCCGCAGAAGAAGCACCGGCUAACUCCGUGCCAGCAGCCGCGGUAAUACGGAGGGUGCAAGCGUUAAUCGGAAUUACUGGGCGUAAAGCGCACGCAGGCGG